CCUGAUGCAGCAACGCCGCGUGAGGGAUGACGGCCUUCGGGUUGUAAACCUCUUUUAGCAGGGAAGAAGCGAAAGUGACGGUACCUGCAGAAAAAGCGCCGGCUAACUACGUGCCAGCAGCCGCGGUAAUACGUAGGGCGCAAGCGUUAUCCGGAAUUAUUGGGCGUAAAGAGCUCGUAGGCGGUCUGUCGCGUCUGCUGUGAAAACCCGAGGCUCAACCUCGGGCCUGCAGUGGGUACGGGCAGACUAGAGUGCGGUAGGGGAGAUUGGAAUUCCUGGUGUAGCGGUGGAAUGCGCAGAUAUCAGGAGGAACACCGAUGGCGAAGGCAGAUCUCUGGGCCGUAACUGACGCUGAGGAGCGAAAGGGUGGGGAGCAAACAGGCUUAGAUACCCUGGUAGUCCACCCCGUAAACGUUGGGAACUAGUUGUGGGGGCCUUUCCACGGUCUCCGUGACGCAGCUAACGCAUUAAGUUCCCCGCCUGGGGAGUACGGCCGCAAGGCUAAAACUCAAAUGAAUUGACGGGG
Molecule: ribosomal RNA, 526 nt
Filed under: Microbacterium paludicola
Lineage: Bacteria; Bacillati; Actinomycetota; Actinomycetes; Micrococcales; Microbacteriaceae
Description: bacterial SSU rRNA
Rfam family: Bacterial small subunit ribosomal RNA
Source: RNAcentral